This 253-nucleotide ribosomal RNA is filed under the name uncultured bacterium. Its description in RNAcentral is "partial 16S ribosomal RNA". It matches the Rfam family "Bacterial small subunit ribosomal RNA", at positions 15 to 263 of the family's 1533-position model. The record is from RNAcentral.
GAUCAUGGCUCAGGAUGAACGCUAGCGGCAGGCUUAACACAUGCAAGUCGAGGGGCAGCGGGGAGUAGCAAUACUCCGCCGGCGACCGGCGCGCGGGUGCGUAACGCGUAUGCAACCUACCUUUAACAGGGGCAUAACACUGAGAAAUUGGUACUAAUUCCCCAUAACAUUCGAGAAGGCAUCUUCUUGGGUUAAAAAACUCCGGUGGUUAAAGAUGGGCAUGCGUUGUAUUAGCUAGUUGGUGAGGUAACGG